This is a long non-coding RNA of Carassius gibelio (silver crucian carp), 611 nucleotides long. RefSeq lists it as uncharacterized. The transcript is spliced from 3 exons. Lineage: Eukaryota; Metazoa; Chordata; Actinopteri; Cypriniformes; Cyprinidae. The record is from RefSeq and is a predicted model, not a curated record.
CUGUGAUGAGGAAGACAGGAGCAUACAAGAGGGACACUGUUCAUCUACUGUUGACGCUUCAGCCGAGGUGGCACUUCCUGCUACCGAGAGGAAUAUGUCACACAAGAGAGGCAAACCAUCAUCAGAAGUGCCGAUGUCUUCAGGAGCCAGUGCUAUGAGACCACCUUGCAAAGGUAAAAGUAGCCAGAAGAAAGCUCCCUGGCAGCAGGCAGAGGUGCAGGCGGUGGAAAGGCACCUGAAGUCAUUCAUCAUAUCUGGCACUGUACCAGCAAAGAGUGACUGUGAGAAAUGCUUGAAAGCUGAACCACAAGCUCUGAGGAACCGCGAUUGGAAGACAGUAAAAUUUUAUGUUUAUAAUCGCAUUACAGCUUACAAAAAGAAAUCGCAGUGCAGAUAAUACUGUAAAGAUGCAACUAUCUGGCAUGGCAAGUUUUGUUCAAGUUAAAGCCACAGCAGCACUUAAAGAAAUAGAAUAACUUAAACCGUUAAACCAGUGCAAGGCCACACGCUGAAAGCAUUGGUCUAACAAAAGUUGAAAUCCAUGUUUGUGAAAGGAAGCAUGUGAGAAAGUUUAUAUAUAUAUAUAUUUUUUUACAUUUAGUAUAACAGGA